GUUUCUGUAGUUGAAUUACAACGGUGGUUUUUCGAGUCAUUAGUCUUGGUUAAAGUCCGAGUGGAAAUU
This is a non-coding RNA of Lepisosteus oculatus (spotted gar), 69 nucleotides long. The record is from Ensembl. NCBI's taxonomy places the organism in Eukaryota, Metazoa, Chordata, Actinopteri, Semionotiformes, Lepisosteidae.